GACGAACGCUGGCGGCGUGCUUAACACAUGCAAGUCGAGCGGUAAGGCCCUUUCGGGGGUACACGAGCGGCGAACGGGUGAGUAACACGUGGGUGACCUGCCCUCAGCUCUGGGAUAAGCCUGGGAAACCGGGUCUAAUACUGGAUAUGACUCCAUGACGCAUGUUGUGGGGUGGAAAGCCUUGUGCGGCUGAGGAUGGGCCCGCGGCCUAUCAGCUUGUUGGUGGGGUGANGGCCUACCAAGGCGACGACGGGUAGCCGGCCUGAGAGGGCGACCGGCACACUGGGACUGAGACACGGCCCAGACUCCUACGGGAGGCAGCAGUGGGGAAUCUUGCGCAAUGGGCGAAAGCCUGACGCAGCGACGCCGCGUGAGGGAUGACGGCCUGG
This 389-nucleotide ribosomal RNA is filed under the name uncultured bacterium. RNAcentral's name for it is "bacterial SSU rRNA". It matches the Rfam family "Bacterial small subunit ribosomal RNA", at positions 28 to 419 of the family's 1533-position model. The record is from RNAcentral.